Molecule: ribosomal RNA, 292 nt
Filed under: uncultured bacterium
Lineage: Bacteria
Description: partial 16S ribosomal RNA
Rfam family: Bacterial small subunit ribosomal RNA
Source: RNAcentral
GUGUCAGCCGCCGCGGUAAUACAGAGGUCUCAAGCGUUGUUCGGAUUCAUUGGGCGUAAAGGGUGCGUAGGUGGCAAGGUAAGUCGGGUGUGAAAUCCCGGGGCUCAACCCUGGAACUGCACUCGAUACUGCCAUGCUCGAGUACUGGAGAGGAGACUGGAAUUUACGGUGUAGCAGUGAAAUGCGUAGAUAUCGUAAGGAAGACCAGUGGCGAAGGCGAGUCUCUGGACAGUUACUGACACUGAGGCACGAAGGCCAGGGGAGCAAACGGGAUUAGAAACCCCUGUAGUCC